Molecule: small nuclear RNA, 163 nt
Filed under: Meriones unguiculatus (Mongolian gerbil)
Lineage: Eukaryota; Metazoa; Chordata; Mammalia; Rodentia; Muridae
Description: U1 spliceosomal RNA (ENSMUGG00000010957.1)
Rfam family: U1 spliceosomal RNA
About the family: U1 is a small nuclear RNA (snRNA) component of the spliceosome (involved in pre-mRNA splicing). Its 5' end forms complementary base pairs with the 5' splice junction, thus defining the 5' donor site of an intron.
Source: RNAcentral
CAUUUUACCUAGUUGGGGAAAUACCAUGAUCUCAAGUUGGUUUUCCUGAGUGAUAUUCAUCCAUUUGACUGGAGAUUUGCUGAAUUCUGUGGUUUUUCCCAAAUUCAGAAAACUCAACUGCAUUAUUUGUAAUAAUGGGGGACUGUGUUAAAGCUCUCCCCUG